UACAGAGGGUGCAAGCGUUAAUCGGAGUUACUGGGCGUAAAGGGCGCGUAGGUGGUUAUUUAAGUUUGAUGUGAAAUCCCUGGGCUUAACCUAGGAACUGCAUUGAAAACUGGAUAACUGGAGUACUGUAGAGGGUAGUGGAAUUUCCGGUGUAGCGGUGAAAUGCGUAGAGAUCGGAAGGAACACCAGUGGCGAAGGCGGCUACCUGGACAGAUACUGACACUGAGGCGCGAGAGCGUGGGGAGCAAACAGG
Molecule: ribosomal RNA, 253 nt
Filed under: uncultured bacterium
Lineage: Bacteria
Description: partial 16S ribosomal RNA
Rfam family: Bacterial small subunit ribosomal RNA
Source: RNAcentral